AUUGAACGCUGGCGGCAGGCCUAACACAUGCAAGUCGAGCGGAUGAAGGGAGCUUGCUCCUGGCUUCAGCGGCGGACGGGUGAGUAAUGCCUAGGAAUCUGCCUGGUAGUGGGGGAUAACGUCCGGAAACGGGCGCUAAUACCGCAUCCGUCCUGAGGGAGAAAGUGGGGGAUCUUCGGACCUCACGCUAUCAGAUGAGCCUAGGUCGGAUUAGCUAGUUGGUGGGGUAAAGUCCUACCAAGGCGACGAUCCGUAACUGGUCUGAGAGGAUGAUCAGUCACACUGGAACUGAGACACGGUCCAGACUCCUACGGGAGGCAGCAGUGGGGAAUAUUGGACAAUGGGCGAAAGCCUGAUCCAGCCAUGCCGCGUGUGUGAAGAAGGUCUUCGGAUUGUAAAGCUCUUUAAGUUGGGAGGAAGGGAAGUAAGUUAAUCCCUUGCUGUUUUGACGUUACCAACAGAAUAAGCACCGGCUAACUUCGUG
RNAcentral lists this ribosomal RNA (484 nucleotides) under uncultured bacterium. RNAcentral's name for it is "partial 16S ribosomal RNA". It matches the Rfam family "Bacterial small subunit ribosomal RNA", at positions 30 to 507 of the family's 1533-position model. The record is from RNAcentral.